CCUACGGGAGGCAGCAGUGGGGAAUAUUGCGCAAUGGGCGAAAGCCUGACGCAGCGACGCCGCGUGAGGGAUGAAGGUCUUCGGAUCGUAAACCUCUGUCAGCAGGGAAGAACGGUCACUGUGCUAAUCAGCAGUGAAUUGACGGUACCUGCAAAGGAAGCACCGGCUAACUCCGUGCCAGCAGCCGCGGUAAUAAGGAGGGUGCGAGCGUUAAUUGGAAUUACUGGGCGUAAAGCGGUCGUAGGCGGUAUGUCAAGUCAAGGGGGAAAUCCCCGCGCUCAACGUGGGAACUGCCGUUGAAACUGGCAAACUGGAGUGUGUGAGAGGAUAGUGGAAUGCCAGGUGUAGGAGUGAAAUCCGUAGAUAUCUGGAGGAACAUCAGUGGCGAAGGCGGCUAUCUGGCACAUAACUGACGCUGAGGAGCGAAAGCGUGGGUAGCAAACAGGAUUAGAUACCCGAGUAGUC
RNAcentral lists this ribosomal RNA (465 nucleotides) under uncultured bacterium. RNAcentral's name for it is "partial 16S ribosomal RNA". It matches the Rfam family "Bacterial small subunit ribosomal RNA", at positions 338 to 795 of the family's 1533-position model. The record is from RNAcentral.